Molecule: long non-coding RNA, 612 nt
Organism: Spinacia oleracea (spinach)
Lineage: Eukaryota; Viridiplantae; Streptophyta; Magnoliopsida; Caryophyllales; Amaranthaceae
Exons: 5
Source: RefSeq, a predicted model, not a curated record
CUACUUCACGUAAAAAUAAGCAAUGCCAAAACCCCUUUGAAUUUCACGUGAAAACCCAAAAGAGAAAAAAAAAGGAAAACCCAUCCUUCACAUUCGUAGCUGCUGCCCAGCCGCCGCACCGACCUCCUGCCACCAGCCACCGGCGAGUCGCACCGCCGCGCCGCCACCACGCUGCCACCAGCGUUCGUGGCCUUGUUUCAGCCACCGUGUCGUCGCCUGAACGUUGUCCUUUUGCACGCCACCACCACCACUCGCGGCCGCCGAGCAAGUUCUGCCGCCUCCAGCCGCGCCUCUCACCGCCUCUCACCGCCGGCCACCUUCGUCCUCCCUUCCUUUUGGCGGAGAAUUCCCUUUAGGCGACUUUGAAAGUGUUAAAGUGACCUAUCAAUUUGUUUACACAAGUCCCUAGGGGUCCAUAAGCAUUUUCCAUUGCAGGUUUGAAGAUGAUGAAUCACUGGGGUUCGGGAUCUGGAGAGAUUUGUGUAGUCGUUAUUUUAUUUCAUUUGAAUUUGGUUUUGUUGAACUUCUUUUAAUGGACUCGAAUUUGAUUUGAACUAAUUAAGUCGACUUCGGGUAGUUGACUUAUUUAAAUUAUUAAAGUUAUUUAUUAUA